Molecule: RNA transcript, 9489 nt
Organism: Zootermopsis nevadensis
Lineage: Eukaryota; Metazoa; Arthropoda; Insecta; Blattodea; Termopsidae
Gene: htt
Gene name: huntingtin
Source: RefSeq, a predicted model, not a curated record
UGUUGGACCUGUUCAAGUCCUGUGUAGAGGUUAUAUAUUGGGCCUGCUGCAUGGUGUUCGCUUAUCCUGCAGGACUAUUCGUUGUAUUCGCAAUGGUCAUUUGAGCAUGUGGCAAACGAUUCAAGUUUCUAUGAAGGCAAUGAAUUGUAACGCUGUUAUCAGUUUCUGCCUGUUUAGAUGAAUGACAGUUAGGAUGUUUAGUUAUAUGGAAGGAGUGGUUAUGUUUUGUUAUGUUAAACGCACACUGUAAGGACCUUCAAUAGCGAAGCACACUUUGUGCUCGAGAUUUGCGAUAAGGUCUUCUCUUUUUAAACAACACACAAAUCAUGGCAUCUUUAGAAAAAUUAUUAAAAUCGUUAGAAUCCCUCAAGUUACUACAGUUGUCCCCAGCGCUGUCAGAAGAAACGUCCAUAAGGAAAAAGGAGAAAAUAAGUCACUGUUUGGCAAUAGCAGAUGCAAUGUGUCACUCUGGAGUGAAAGGAGCACCAAAUGUUUCCUACCUUCUGAGCAUAGCUAUUGAGAUACUGCUUCAGAUGUGUGAUGACUCGCACUCAGAUGUUCGCAUGAUAGCAGAUGAAAGCUUGAACAGGGUCAUCAGAGCAAUGUCAGACAGCAAUGUAGUGAAAAUACAGGUUGAACUGCACAAGGAGAUUAAAAAAAAUGGAAAUCCUCGUCCUUUGAGAGCUGCACUUUGGAGAUUUGCUGAACUCUGCCAUUUAAUUCGACCACAGAAAGGCAAGCCAUAUGUGGUGAAUUUGAUUCCAUGCAUUAUUCACAUUGCUCGUCGUACUGAAGAACCUGUUUUGGAGACAUUAGCAGCUGCUAUGCCAAAGAUAUUUAAGGCACUUGGAAAUUUCACAUCUGACAAUGAUGUGAAGGGUCUUCUGAAAGCAUUCUUGCAGAAUCUGUCCUCGAGCUCUGCAGUGGUCCGACGGACUGCUGCAGCUAGUAUUUUAACCAUAUGCCUAAAUUGUAGAAAGCCACAUGUCUUCUUUUCUUACAUCCUCAACACUUUACUGGACUGUGUUGUUCCAAUACGAGAAGGACAGUCAGUGUCUACAGUAUUGGGAGUUCUUGGGUGUUUGCGUAACAUUUUUCCCCACAUGUCUGUUGGAGAAGGAGGGGAGGAAGAGAUGAGAGGCAGCUUUGGAGUUCGUAGAUGUCAUCAGGAAGCACCAUUGGCAGUUGAUCGGAUGAUUCAGAUAUAUGAACUGUGUCUUCACUACACAAACCAUGGUGAUCAUAAUGUGGUGAAUGCUGCCUUGGAAACGUUGCAUCAACUACUACAGUCACCACCACCUGAUCUUUUACCAGUCUUGCUUUCCUCCCAAGGAGUGACUCGGAGCCGCGUUCAAGCUACGGAGGGGCAGGAGAAACUUACCCAUCGGUCACUCAGUCAGAUGAGUGUAGCACAGUCUUUUGCAUUAGGUGAUGAAAAUUCUUUACUUGAUCCUGAUCCAGAACUGCCUGACCUGAAAUUACCAUCUAUAGAAAAAUGGGUUGGUGAGACAAAGGCAGUUUUGAAUGCUGAUAAAUUAGCAGCAGCAAGAUUAGUGGAGAAGCCAGUGUUUGGAAAGUCAGGAAUAAAUAAUUCAAAUUUUUACGGUGAUGAGACUCAAAGUACAGCUUUGGAUGCUACUGAAGACGAUGAUGAUGAUAAUUGUGAUGGUGAUGGCAGUAGUAUUGUGGAGGAUAACCAGACUGAAUAUUCCAGUAUUCAGAUUGGAACAAUUCAAGACCAGGAAGAUAUAGAUUCUCAGAGCCCUACAAGAAGUACAACUCCAAAACAUCAUCCAAUGGCAAUCAGAACACCUCAGCUUUCAUCUCAGAGUGAUGAUAUCAAAGAUGAAGAAGGAGGUCUCAUGUUGUCACCAUCUCCAGUGGCUUCCCAGGGAAGUUCUGUGCCAUUUCAGGAGUGUGUUGUUGGAUCAUUCACAGAUGCUGCUGUUCCACUUGUGUAUUGUUCUCGACAUUUGGCUGCCUCUUUCCUACUGACAGGAUGUGCUGGCUUCAUAAUGCCUGACAGUUCUGUUAGGGUUAGUGUGAAGGCUCUUGCUCUCAGCUGCAUAGCCAGCAUUGUCCGCCUCUCUCCUAGUAUCAUAUUUCUCAGCAUUGACAAGAAUAAGGAGCCCAGUGGAACACAAGAUGUAUGUGACUCAAAUAGUGUUCAGAUUUUGAGUGAUGUGUUGUUGUUUGCGAGUCAUCCAGACCCACAACUUCGUGGUAUCACUAGCACUGUGAUUGGCUGCUUACUUCAUUCAGCAUUAGUACGGUCUGGUGGCAACUUUCACAAAUGGGUUGAUACUGAGUGCAAGUGGAGUUUUAGAACUAAUGAAAUUUCAGUCCCAGAAUUAAUGAAACUGUUGCUUAAAGGUUUGGAAGAUGAAUCAUCUGUGUGCUGCCGUCAGACUCUGUUAGCUUUGAAUCUCUGCCUGCCAGAACUUCUGGAGAGCAUAGAGAGUCAGUCUGCUGCAGCCAUUCUGAAGGCUUUGCCUCUUUUAGUGAAUAAUUCGUACUGGUUGAUCAAGGUGAAAUUGGUGGAAGUGGUGAGUCAGUUGUCAUAUGUUACCAUCUACCACCUGACAGGCAACUCUGACUUCCAAGAGAAGGUGAUUAGUUCUAUAGUGUUUGUGUUCCUUAAGGAUGAAGAUGUGAGAGUGAGACAUGCUGCAGCUAAAGCAAUUUUAAGAGUUAUUCCAAAGCUAUUCUUCCCUCUGGAUCAGCCACAACAGGAUGCUGCAACUGUCAAAGGAGCUGGGUACAGUGAGCAGUUCCUGUCUGAGAUGUUGGCACCUUCAAGUGAUUCUAGUGGUUCAUCUGCUAUCCUGCAGCGUACAAACAUUAACAAUCUGCCAGCACCAUUCAAUGUUUGCUUCCCUUAUGCAGUUUUUGGAAACCCGCGUCUCUGCUAUCGUCGGAGUAUAGACACAUCUCUGUCUAGAAUUGUGUGCCUCUUGUCCCAGUCUUUACUCAUGUCUGCCAGCAAAUAUCUCACAUUUGGUUGUUGCGAAGCUUUGGCUCUGUUGUCUUCACACUAUCUUACAACAGUUUACCCGAAAGCAUGGAAUUGCUCUCUGAGCAGUAAGACAGGUGGCCAGAAACCUAAUUCCAGAAGAAACACCAGCCAACAGGGACAUGAAGUCUCAUCUGCAGAUGCAGUUGUCAGUCCUGCAGCUGGUCUUUUCUCUACCACAUUGGCUGUCCUGACAGGAUCUCCCAUCUCAUUAGAUCUUAGCUGCCAGCAGUGGCUGAUAGAGUUGGCAGGAAACAUAUUCUCAGGCGUGGCAGUGUGCAGUUUACGCCCCAGUGAUAGCUGCAUUCCUGGAGAAGCUGCUGAACGUCACAAGCAACUCUGGGGAGUACUGAGGGACAAACAGUUGUCUUCAUGUGCUGAGAUGCUUCUGCUGCAUGUUGUGCGCAUACUUAACAUAUUUGUCCACGUCCUGGAAGAGCUGGCACCUACUGUUCCAGCACCAAAACCAUCACUUCCCUCAUUUUCUACUGCUCCAUCUCUCUCUCCUAUUAAACGCAAGGGGAAGGUUGCAGAAGUAACUGUGGGAACAGCAACAGCAGCAGGAACAACCUCAGAAGGUGGUCGCACUAGAGGGUUGUCACCAGUAAAGACUUCUUUAGAUAAGGAAGAGAGGUCUAGCGAGGAUAAGAAAAGUGGCCGAGGGACAUCUUUGGGAUUCUUUGCUGGUAUUUCUCACUACAUGAAGAUACAUGACAUUAUGAAAAGUGCAUAUACCAAUUAUAAGAUAACCCUGGAUUCAGGAGCAAGUGAAAAGUUUGUGAGUUUGCUGCGUGUGACGCUUGAAACAUUAUCACAGUUGCUUGAAGUGGGAACACUUAAUGAGGCAGGACGCAUUGCAGAAGAAAUUCUCUCAUAUCUAAGAUUUACAGUCAGUGUAGAGCCUACAGCUACUGUGAAAUGUGUACAGCAGUUGUUGAAGUGCCUAUUUGGGACCAACCUAUCGGCUCAGUGGGUAAAGCCUGAUGACAAUCAGCGGACCUCAUCAUCUUCAUCAAGCUGCACUUCUGAUCAGAAUAGUGAGGGUUUCUAUGGUGUAUGUUUCCAGACUCCUUACAGACAUUUGACAGACUUUGUUACAUCCCCUAGCAAUAAGGCACAAGACAAGGAUGAAGGAUUCAUGUGGAUGAACUGUUUGCGACGGAAAUCAGAAAGGAAAGGGGCUGCAUACAAAGGUUUCAUUCAUGGAGCUGACAAAACUUCAUUGGCUUCAUACAUUAGAUUGUUUGAGCCAAUGGUUAUCAAGGCUCUCAAGCAAUAUACAGUUACAAGUGAUGUGCAGCUUCAGUGUCGAGUAUUGCUCUUACUGAGCCAGUUGGUGCAGUUGAGAGUCAACUACUGUCUUCUUGAUUCUGAUCAGAUUUUCAUUGGAUUUGUGCUGAAGCAGUUUGAAUUCAUUGAAGAAGGACAAAUUCCGAAUGCUGAAGAGCUGAUACCUCGAAUAUUCUAUUUCUUGGUGCACCUGUCAUAUGACGAACAUCAUUCUAAGAGUAUCAUUGGUGUGCCAAAGGUAAUCCAGUUAUGUGAUGGGUUAAUGGCAAGUGGACAGUCACCAGUCACACACUGUAUUCCUGCACUAGUUCCAGUUGUGGAAGAUGUGUUUUUAAUACGUGGUUCAAGUAGCACUAGCAGCUUUGAUAUGAAAGAACUAGACACUCAGCGGGAAGUUCUGGUAUCCAUGCUGUUGCGGUUGGUCGAGUACCAUCAGGUUUUGGAGCUACUGAGUAUGGUACUUAAUGAGAGCCGUGAGAGUGAAGAACGAUGGCGCCGUUGGUCACGUCAAGUAGUAGACGCACUACUCCCUCUUCUGGCACAGGGUCGAGUGAGGCUGGAGUCUAGGGAAGCUCAGCAUUCUCUGCAGCGUUUGCUUGCGUCUGUUGCUCCCUGUGUCUUGAGGCCUGUUGACUCUCUUCUACGUACCCUCUUCUCAGAAGCUCCACAAAUGCAUAGCACUACAGUAGUAAUGGAGCGAUGGUUGGGUAUGGUCCUUGCAAUCCUACUACUUCUCAUAUCUCUGGGGAAAGAAGAAGUAGUUCUUGCUCGCCUGGAAGAAUUAGAACUAUGUCUGCCACCUCUGGGUUCACUGUACAGGCCAGCUGAAAGACAUGAUCCUUUGAAUGUGGCAGCCACAAUUCCCAAAUGCAAGCAGUUACCACCAGAGCAAGUAAUGGCAAGGUUCCUUAUGCAAGUGUUGGGGCUUGUAAGUAAUCACAUACAUGGUUCUGUAUAUAGUCCCCUGACAAGUGACGAGACUUUGUAUCUACAGGAACAGUUCUCACAUUUCCUGUUGUACUGCAUCUAUAUGUUUGAAUCAGGCAGAUACUGUCGUGUCGCUACAGCUGUAAUGCAGAUGGUACAGCAAGGAAAGGAAAUGGGGAGUGAUCCUAACUCAUGCUUACCAAUCAACGACAUCAACAAUUUAUUUUUGGAAUUGGCUCCAAAGUGCCCUAUGCAUAUGUUCAAGUGGUGCUAUAUCCUUACCCUCGUGAACUUUAGUGACCAGACUUUCUGGGCCCAGAUACUACGCACUCAACCACAUGACCUUAUUCUUGAACAGGGACCUGUUCAAGCAGAGAGCUGUGGGCCAUCUCCUUGCAUAAAUCUAGAGUUGGUGCGGAAAGGUGGCACAAUCCUGUACUGUGACUAUGUAUGUGAAAAUAUGAAUGAUGCUGAGCAGCUCACUUGGUUGCUGGUGAAUCAUAUCGAGGAGGUGGUGAGUUUGUCAACUGAGCCACCAGUACAGGAACUUAUUGCUGCUGUACAUAGAAACCCAGUAGCAAGUGGAUUAUUAGUUCAAGCUGUAGGUGCACGCUGCCAGAAACUCAGACAGCCCAGUUUUGUGUGUCGGGUUUUGCACUGCCUGGAAGGUGUACAUCCUUCUCAGAGUGGCACUCUUCUCAUCUUGCUCAUACCUCGAUUGCUUGGUCAUCCCCAACUUGCGCCUGCACGUCUGGCAGGUACACUGGCAUGUCGCCGAGCAGAAUUACUCCUUACAUUGUCUGCAGACGAAGUUGCAGCUCAGCUCUCUGAAGCCGAUCUGAAGAAAAUUAUGGACAUUUUACACUCCACUUCACUAGCUAGGAAACACAGUGGGUUAUUGAGCCUCCUCAAUAAACUGGGAGCACAGUACUACAAUAUUCCUCCAUUGGAAUUAGAUCCAGGACAAACAUUUGAUCCAUCUGAUAUUCGUUCUGUUACUAUCAACAGGGCUUGGUUUCUAGCACAGGUGACAGCCAGGUGCUGUCACUGUAAUCAGUCUGGAGCUGAAACAGCCCAGCUACUGAGCAAACUGGAGUAUGAGGAAAUUGUGUCCAUUCUCAGCUGCAAAGAGUUUAAUUCCCUCAACCUCAAGGACUGUCUAAAAUUAGGAACACAGCUUACUCUCCAGGCUUAUCAGAACUUACCAGCAUCCCAGGUUGGCUUUAAUGAUGUGGCAAAUUAUGUAGCUGCUGACCAGUCUGUGUCUGUGUUGGAAUCCCCGUUGUAUAGAGCUGCAAGAUUGUCAGUAUUGCAGCAUGUCGCCAAUAUUAGGGCUUUAAUACCAAAACCACAUCAGGUUUACUACCCCCAGGGACGUGAUAUUAACAUGAAGGAAGCCAAGUAUUCAUCUCGCCUUGACCAGCUACUUGGUGAUCCCAUAUUUUGGAGGGCUCUAUUCAGAGUGUCACCUGCCGUUACCUGCUACUUACAAUCACUGCCUGUCCUUACUCUUGGUGGAGUAAGACCAGGUGUACCUCAAGCAUCAUGGGAUGAUGUAGGGAAGUUUGGAAUCCUUUGUCUUGAGGCUGUCUAUUGGCUUCUUCGGGCAGAUGUUUCAGGAGCUGCUAAGCCUAAACCAUGGUACUUACAUAUUGGCCUGUCCUGUGCUGAUGAGGUUCUUCGUGAGCCAAAUUUAGGGGGUGUUAUUGGUCAGGCUAAUCAUGCAUCAUGGAUGGCUUCAGCUGCUGGUGCACUUAGUGCAGUUGUCAAGGUUUUGCUGGAAGGGGAGCAACUCCCCUCCCUUACAGCAUCAGGACUGAAUGCAGCACUGAAUGAUCCUGAAACUGUGUGUGCAGCCCAUGCAUGUCAUCAGAUGGCAGUCUUAGUCCUUUGGCUUGAGAAAACAAGACUGAAAAUAAGCAACAUUCCCAAGUUUCUUGUCAAACCUGUCAAGAGUCUUGUUGUGGGCUUAUCUCGUUUACCUUUAGUAAACUCUUACGUUGUAACGCCACCUGAUGUCUGGCGACAAGGCUGGGCAGCAGAAUUGAGUGGUCCAUGUCAUACUUUUGUACCACCUCUUCCAGUGGAUUACCUUCAAGAUACUGAUGUGCUCCAACAACUUAUAUUCAGGAUAACACUUCUUGGGUGGACAAGUCGUCAGCAGUUUGAAGAGACCUGGAUGGCUUUUCUCAGUGUCCUGAGCUCAAACCCUGUGGAAAACUGUGCACCAGAAGAAGUAGCCAUCAUGGUCCAUGCUAGCAGCUUGGCAGUACAAGCCAUCACAGCUCUGUUGGUGCAGACAUUGAUGUUGCCAAUACCAGGAAACCCUAAUGCUAGUCAGCUGGUACACCAGCCUCGUGAAAAGGCUCUGCCACAAUCCAAAUGCAAUGAGAAGUUACGGGCAAUUCAUGAAUUGUUGGUCUGGAGACUGCAAGAUCAGGAGGUCACUGGACAAUGUCUGGAACUCAAACAUGUCUUGAAUAGAAGCAACAUUGAGCGAAUUCUCAGUCCAGACAGAUAUGGAUACAGCCAGGUGUCAUUAGAAUAUCUGUGGACAGCCACUCGAAUGUUGGAUACUAACAGCAAUCCUGGGGAGGGUGACACACACAAAGUUACAGUGUCAGCUUCUUGCUUGGAGCAUGAACAGUACUUAGCUGCAAGUGGACUUGACCUUCAUUCCUGCCUGCACUUUCUACUUGAUUUAUAUUCACAGUGGACUUUACCACAGUCUGGGACACCACUUCAACUUGUGAGUGAAGCAGUACGGUCCAUAUUGGCUGUAUCAGAUCUGUUUACAGAAAAGGCACAGUUUCAGUGGAUGCUAGCAACCUGCUUGGAGCUUGGAAAGCAUCAUCCUUUUGAAGAUGAAAUAUUACAUCAGUACCUUGUGUUUGGAGCCUGUAAGGCAGCAGCUGUACUGGGGCCGGAUACAGAGGUUUACGAGCGAGUGAGGAAGUUGGUGGAGAACAGUUUGCGAUCUGGUUUCCUCCCAGCACGAAUUGCUGGUCUGCAUGGAGUUCUUUUCUUGCUGCAAGCGACUCCUACAAGAACCCCAGCGCAACAUUUUCAAGCCAGCAGUGGAUCAGUUACUGAGGAGAUCUAUCAUAUGCAGCCACUAGCUAUUGAUUAUAUACAGAAGCAUAUUGACAUAGGCAGUGGUCCAAAUAGCCACAGUGAGGAGCAUCAGCUGGUGAUGUGGGGUUUGAUGUUCUUCUUGCUAGAAAAUAUGGAGGAACAAAUGAUGGACACAGAAGUUGCUCCAGCUGUACUGCAGCUGGCUCUCACUUUAGUCACUGCCCACAGUUUGUCUCCAAGUGUACAUUUAGCGCUCAUCCAGGGUCUUGAGAGACUGGUGGUGACUGGCUCAGUAGGAGGGAAAGUAGCUGAACAGGUGACGAAGCUGUCAGUGGAACGGAUGCGACAUCCCAACCCAACUAUAGCUGUCCCAGCACUGCAGCUGCUUCUGUCCUGUAUGUAUACAGAAAGGUGUGAAGAUCUGAAGCAGAAUGGAGAAAAACUGACUGGCAAGGCACAUGAUCCAGAACUUCUUAUACCAGCCAUGGAGAAAACAUCUGCCAUUUUUGACAGGAUCAAGAAGGGUUAUCCGUUUGAAGUGGAGUUGCUGUGUGGUGUACUAUCAAACCUACUUACAGACUUCUUUCCUCCAUCGGAAAUCAUGACCAAGGUGAUAGGGGAAUUUCUAUCAACGCAACAGCCACAUCCUCGUCUCCUUGCUGCUGUUGUGUUCCAGGUUUUUGAGUGUGCCUGUGAGCAGUCUCAGCUGCCACUUCUACAAGAUUGGGUUGUGCUCAGUGUUGCCAACUUCACACAGUGUUAUCCAGUUGGCAUGGCCUCAUGGUGCCUCACCUGCUUUUUCAUCAGUGCAUCCAUCAAUCCAUGGCUUCGGGCUCUAUUUCCUCACGUGCAGUCUCGUAUAGGUCGCUGUGAGUAUGAAGAUCGUAAACUCCUGUGUCUAGCAGCUGCAGAUUUCUACCGUCAGUAGAUAAAAAUAUUUUGCAGCUGAAAGAUGAGAAACAGAAGCUAACCUUUCAGUCUGCAUUCCAGACCGCAGCAAAUCAACCACUGUUUGCUGACAUUCUUGCUUGUCUAUAAAUUGUCUUACACUGCAACUUGCAUAACUCCAGUGUAUAUAACAUAUACCAUUCCUUCAGUGUAUAAUUAAAUAAAUUAAAAGUAACAUCCUUAUUGUAAGUGUCAGUGUACUGUUGGUGAUGAAUUAAAAGCUACUUUAUUAUUUG